This 460-nucleotide ribosomal RNA is filed under the name uncultured bacterium. RNAcentral's name for it is "partial 16S ribosomal RNA". It matches the Rfam family "Bacterial small subunit ribosomal RNA", at positions 338 to 795 of the family's 1533-position model. The record is from RNAcentral.
CCUACGGUAGGCAGCAGUGAGGAAUAUUGGUCAAUGGGCGUAAGCCUGAACCAGCCAAGUCGCGUGAGGGAUGAAGGUUCUAUGGAUCGUAAACCUCUUUUAUAAGGGAAUAAAGUGCGGGACGUGUCCCGUUUUGUAUGUACCUUAUGAAUAAGGAUCGGCUAACUCCGUGCCAGCAGCCGCGGUAAUACGGAGGAUCCGAGCGUUAUCCGGAUUUGUUGGGGUUAAAGGGUGCGUAGGCGGCCUUUUAAGUCAGCGGUGAAAGUUUGUGGCUCAACCAUAGAAUUGCCGUUGAAACUGGGAGGCUUGAGUAUGUUUGAGGCAGGCGGAAUGCGUGGUGUAGCGGUGAAAUGCUUAGAUAUCACGCAGAACCCCGAUUGCGAAGGCAGCCUGCCAAGCCAUGACUGACGCUGAUGCACGAAAGCGUGGGGAUCAAACAGGAUUAGAUACCCCGGUAGUC